GAGACCGGCGUACGGGUGCGUAACGCGUAUGUAACUUACCCUUAUCGCGGGGAUAGCCCGGGGAAACUCGGAUUAAUACCUGAUAACAUAUAGAUAGGCAUCUAUUUAUAUUAAAAGAUUUAUCGGAUAAGGAUAGACAUGCGUAGGAUUAGUUAGUUGGUAAGGUAAUGGCUUACCAAGACAAUGAUCCUUAGGGGGCCUGAGAGGGUGAUCCCCCACACUGGAACUGAGACACGGACCAG
This 242-nucleotide ribosomal RNA is filed under the name uncultured bacterium. RNAcentral describes it as "partial 16S ribosomal RNA". It matches the Rfam family "Bacterial small subunit ribosomal RNA", at positions 91 to 334 of the family's 1533-position model. The record is from RNAcentral.